CACUUUCUGUAUAACAGUACUGCGACCGAUAGCGUCAUUUUUCUGUCGUGAUUAUGAAGGUGAUCAUUUCCUCGGAAAUGGUUUUAUAGCUGAUUGCAUGGUUAAAUGGUUUAUUGGUGAUUGCGAUUAACGGUUAUUGAUUGGUUUAAUGUUGAUGGUGCUUUAAUAGACUAAAAAUAGGCUGUUUUAGAACUGUUGAUGUUUUUCAUGGUUGAUGUGUUAAUCUAAAGUCUGCAGUGUAUGUAGGUUACUUACUCGUCCCGUCUUGAAACACGGACCAAGGAGUUUUAUAUGAUCGCGAGUCAAAGGGCCUUACGAAACCCCACGGCGAAAUUAAUGUAAAGGUUUGCUUCGGUAAGCUGUGAUGUGACCUCGUGGAAACACAGAGUGCAACAUCGACCCGUCUAAAGAUGUUCGCAUCUGGGCGGAGUUUGAGCGAUCAUGUAGAGACCCGAAAGAUGGUGAACUAUGCUUGUGCAGGUUGAAGCCAGAGGAAACUCUGGUGGAGGACCGCCGCGGUUCUGACGUGCAAAUCGAUCGUCGGACAUGAGUAUAGGGGCGAAAGACUAAUCGAACCAUCUAGUAGCUGGUUCCCUCCGAAGUUUCCCUCAGGAUAGCUGACAUUUGUUGUUGUAGUUUUACCUGGUAAAGCGAAUGAUUAGAAGUAUUGGGGACGAAAUGUUCUCAACUUAUUCUCAAACUUUAAAUGGGUUCGAAGUGCGUCUUUCUUCAUUGAAGAUGUGCAUCGAAUACAAAUGUCUAGUGGGCCAUUUUUGGUAAGCAGAACUGGCGAUGUGGGAUGAACCAAACAUCUGGUUAAGGUGCCUAACAUAACGCUCAUGAGAACCCACAAAAGGUGUUGUUUGAUAAAGACAGCAGGACGGUGGACAUGGAAGUCGUCAUCCGCUAAGGAGUGUGUAACAACUCACCUGCCGAAUCAACCAGCCCUGAAAAUGGAUGGCGCUGUAGCGUUGGACCUAUACCGGAUCGAUAUCGCAAGUUACAAAACGAGUAAGCGAUAUCGU
This 1025-nucleotide ribosomal RNA is filed under the name Dugesia liguriensis. Its description in RNAcentral is "partial large subunit ribosomal RNA". It matches the Rfam family "Eukaryotic large subunit ribosomal RNA", at positions 437 to 1380 of the family's 3401-position model. Lineage: Eukaryota; Metazoa; Platyhelminthes; Tricladida; Dugesiidae. The record is from RNAcentral.